AUUGAACGCUGGCGGAAUGCUUUACACAUGCAAGUCGAACGGCAGCAUAGGUGCUUGCACCUGAUGGCGAGUGGCGAACGGGUGAGUAAUACAUCGGAACGUGCCCAGUCGUGGGGGGUAACGUAGCGAAAGUUACGCUAAUACCGCAUACGAUCUAAGGAUGAAAGCGGGGGACCGUAAGGCCUCGCGCGAUUGGAGCGGCCGAUGUCAGAUUAGGUAGUUGGUGAGGUAAAGGCUCACCAAGCCGACGAUCUGUGGCUGGUCUGAGAGGACGACCAGCCACACUGGGACUGAGACACGGCCCAGACUCCUACGGGAGGCAGCAGUGGGGAAUUUUGGACAAUGGACGCAAGUCUGAUCCAGCCAUUCCGCGUGUAGGACGAAGGCCUUCGGGUUGUAAACUGCUUUUGUACGGAACGAAAAAGCUCUUACUAAUACUAGGAGUCCAUGACGGUACCGUAAGAAUAAGCACCGGCUAACUACGUGCCAGCCGCCGCCGUAA
This 502-nucleotide ribosomal RNA is filed under the name uncultured bacterium. RNAcentral describes it as "partial 16S ribosomal RNA". It matches the Rfam family "Bacterial small subunit ribosomal RNA", at positions 30 to 523 of the family's 1533-position model. The record is from RNAcentral.